CCACAUUGAAUUCCAAAAUUUUGGUACUUCUCAUUUGCAAUUUGUUCUUUGUUAUUAUUCUAAACUCUGAAGUCUAUGAAACUGUGCUUUUUCUCUCCUGUCUGUUUUCGACCGGGUCCAAGUUUCAGUUCGAAUUUUGCACCUAGUUUGAUCCUUAGCACUCACCGAAGUCUAAACUUGCUGAACUGCAUGAAGGGCAAAUUUGAUUGGAUGGCGUCAAUAUCUGGAGUCUGGAAGCAACCACAGUUCACAACACAUCGCUUACUAGAAAGAAUAACCAGGCACCGUAUGUUGACAGCAAGAAUUCUUCUGUUCAACAUACUGCUUCUAUUAGUAGCAUGUGUUCCUUUUCAUGCAGAAUGCGCAUUUUUUGCCCUUUCUGAAAGAGGCAGGUUUAGAUUGAGACGAUUCGUCAAACAAUGCAGAGAAAUUUAGAACUAGCUUGACUGCAAAUGUGCUUCGUGCUCUUUUCCUGGUUUCUUAUCUGAAGAAGAUUAUGCUGUGCAAGCUCCAAUAACUGAAUAUUAUGGAUUCCAUAUAUCCAGGUGAUCACUGAUGAGCAGAGCUUCUUCACAGUUCAGUACUUUAACCAUGCAUGGAAGUAGCUAUGUCUAAAUUGUUUAUUUACUGUUUUGUUUUAUGCCUGUACACUGUUGCGAUACGAGCAUGUAUAUCCAGGUGUCAUGUACCAUCUCUUCCUUCAAAACUCAAUUUGACAAAUAUGCAUGUGCAGUUCUCCAGGGAAAGAAAUUCAAGCAUAAGUAGGUGACUGAUUGAACGCGUGUCGUCCCUGGUUUAUGUUGGCUCAAGUUAUUGGUGAACACUAUGUCAUACUCAUGGAAUACCAGGACAAGGUCAAUUUAUCCAAAAUAAAUCGACAAUGAUAUGAGACGCACCCAUUUUUUUUUAUGGUCCCUGAUUUUCUUCCAUGC
RNAcentral lists this long non-coding RNA (932 nucleotides) under Triticum aestivum (bread wheat). Its description in RNAcentral is "long non-coding RNA (TAES_LNC013522)". Lineage: Eukaryota; Viridiplantae; Streptophyta; Magnoliopsida; Poales; Poaceae. The record is from RNAcentral.